Molecule: ribosomal RNA, 253 nt
Filed under: uncultured bacterium
Lineage: Bacteria
Description: partial 16S ribosomal RNA
Rfam family: Bacterial small subunit ribosomal RNA
Source: RNAcentral
UACGGAGGGGGCUAGCGUUGUUCGGAAUUACUGGGCGUAAAGCGCACGUAGGCGGACCAGAAAGUUGGGGGUGAAAUCCCGGGGCUCAACCUCGGAACUGCUUUCAAAACUAUUGGUCUGGAGUUCGAGAGAGGUGAGUGGAAUUCCGAGUGUAGAGGUGAAAUUCGUAGAUAUUCGCAGGAACACCAGUGGCGAAGGCGACUUGCUGGGCUUGUAGUGACGCUGAGACGCGAAAGCGUGGGGAGCAAACAGG